UGAUAAUGGCUGAGAAACAAGACUGUUUGCAGUCAAUCUAAUGUUUCGAUUUUUGUACCGCUGAUC
RNAcentral lists this small RNA (66 nucleotides) under Salix viminalis (osier). The record is from RNAcentral. Lineage: Eukaryota; Viridiplantae; Streptophyta; Magnoliopsida; Malpighiales; Salicaceae.